AGCAGCCGCCGCGGUAAUACGGAGGGUGCAAGCGUUAUCCGGAUUUAUUGGGUUUAAAGGGUCCGUAGGCGGAUCUGUAAGUCAGUGGUGAAAUCUCACAGCUUAACUGUGAAACUGCCAUUGAUACUGCAGGUCUUGAGUAAAUUUGAAGUGGCUGGAAUAAGUAGUGUAGCGGUGAAAUGCAUAGAUAUUACUUAGAACACCAAUUGCGAAGGCAGGUCACUAAGAUUUAACUGACGCUGAUGGACGAAAGCGUGGGGAGCGAACAGGAUUAGAUACCCGUGUAGUCCCUGUCUCUUAUAC
This 303-nucleotide ribosomal RNA is filed under the name uncultured bacterium. RNAcentral's name for it is "partial 16S ribosomal RNA". It matches the Rfam family "Bacterial small subunit ribosomal RNA", at positions 507 to 807 of the family's 1533-position model. The record is from RNAcentral.